UGAGGAAUAUUGGUCAAUGGGCGGGAGCCUGAACCAGCCAAGUCGCGUGAGGGAAGACGGCCCUACGGGUUGUAAACCUCUUUUGUCGGGGAGCAAGAAAGGGUAUGCAUACCUCACUGAGAGUACCGAAGCAAAAGACAAUCGGCUAACUGCCGUAGCCAGCCAGCCGCGGCUAAUAGCAGGAGGAGUGCGAGCGUUAUCCGGAUUUAUUGGGUUUAAAGGGUGCGCAGGCUGUCUGUCAAGUCAGCGGUAAAAUAGCGGGGCUCAACCCCGUCGAGCCGUUGAAACUGACAGGCUAGAGUGAGCGAGAAGUAUGCGGAAUGCGUGGUGUAGCGGUGAAAUGCAUAGAUAUCACGCAGAACUCCGAUUGCGAAGGCAGCAUACCGGCGCUCAACUGACGCUCAGGCACGAAAGCGUGGGUAUCGAACAGGAUUAGAUACC
Molecule: ribosomal RNA, 441 nt
Filed under: uncultured bacterium
Lineage: Bacteria
Description: bacterial SSU rRNA
Rfam family: Bacterial small subunit ribosomal RNA
Source: RNAcentral